GUGUUGCAUGAAAGGAGAGAAGGUUAGCACUGCCCUUGAUAAGGACGGAAGAGGUCCUAGUGGCCUUUACAACACAUAUAUGGUUAAGGUAUUGCCAUCUAAUCUGUGGCAUCUAACCAUAUUCU
Molecule: non-coding RNA, 125 nt
Filed under: Notamacropus eugenii (tammar wallaby)
Lineage: Eukaryota; Metazoa; Chordata; Mammalia; Diprotodontia; Macropodidae
Source: RNAcentral